This 253-nucleotide ribosomal RNA is filed under the name uncultured bacterium. RNAcentral's name for it is "partial 16S ribosomal RNA". It matches the Rfam family "Bacterial small subunit ribosomal RNA", at positions 524 to 776 of the family's 1533-position model. The record is from RNAcentral.
UACGGAGGAUUCAAGCGUUAUCCGGAUUUAUUGGGUUUAAAGGGUGCGUAGGCGGUCUGAUAAGUUAGAGGUGAAAUCCCGGGGCUUAACUCCGGAAUUGCCUCUGAUACUGUUGGGCUAGAGAGUAGUUGCGGUAGGCGGAAUGUAUGGUGUAGCGGUGAAAUGCUUAGAGAUCAUACAGAACACCGAUUGCGAAGGCAGCUUACCAAACUAUAUCUGACGUUGAGGCACGAAAGCGUGGGGAGCAAAUAGG